This 232-nucleotide long non-coding RNA is filed under the name Capsella rubella. RNAcentral describes it as "long non-coding RNA (CRUB_LNC002179)". The record is from RNAcentral. Lineage: Eukaryota; Viridiplantae; Streptophyta; Magnoliopsida; Brassicales; Brassicaceae.
AAAAUAUAUAAAACAUAAAAUCAGAAACAAAUAUAUAAUAGUAUAAAAAUGAUCAUUACGAGAUAUAAAAUACGACAAAUCCAAAAAAGAAAAACGUAAAACAAAAAAAAUAAAUUAUGACAAUAUAUAAAGAGAUAAUGUAAACAAUUAAAAAUACAACAAUCCGCUCGAAACCCACAAAUUAUGAUCAAAUUUCAUGCCAACAUAUAAAAGGGCCAAAAAUAUUAACAUC